GCACCUAUGGCUCAGUGGUAGAGCAUUCCACUUGUAAUGGAAAGGUCCGCGGUUCGAUCCCGCGUGGGUGCA
Molecule: transfer RNA, 72 nt
Filed under: Aspergillus udagawae
Lineage: Eukaryota; Fungi; Ascomycota; Eurotiomycetes; Eurotiales; Aspergillaceae
Also listed under: 5 other names
Description: tRNA-Thr
Rfam family: tRNA
About the family: Transfer RNA (tRNA) molecules are approximately 80 nucleotides in length. Their secondary structure includes four short double-helical elements and three loops (D, anti-codon, and T loops). Further hydrogen bonds mediate the characteristic L-shaped molecular structure. tRNAs have two regions of fundamental functional importance: the anti-codon, which is responsible for specific mRNA codon recognition, and the 3' end, to which the tRNAs corresponding amino acid is attached (by aminoacyl-tRNA synthetases). tRNAs cope with the degeneracy of the genetic code in two manners: having more than one tRNA (with a specific anti-codon) for a particular amino acid; and 'wobble' base-pairing, i.e. permitting non-standard base-pairing at the 3rd anti-codon position.
Source: RNAcentral